UGGGGAAUAUUGGACAAUGGGCGAAAGCCUGAUCCAGCCAUGCCGCGUGUGUGAAGAAGGUCUUCGGAUUGUAAAGCACUUUAAGUUGGGAGGAAGGGCAGUAAGCGAAUACCUUGCUGUUUUGACGUUACCGACAGAAUAAGCACCGGCUAACUCUGUGCCAGCAGCCGCGGUAAUACAGAGGGUGCAAGCGUUAAUCGGAAUUACUGGGCGUAAAGCGCGCGUAGGUGGUUCGUUAAGUUGAAUGUGAAAGCCCCGGGCUCAACCUGGGAACUGCAUCCAAAGCUGGCGAGCUAGAGUAGGGCAGAGGGUGGUGGAAGUUCCUGUGUAGCGGUGAAAUGCGUAGAUAUAGGAAGGAACACCAGUGGCGAAGGCGACCACCUGGGCUCAUACUGACACUGAGGUGCGAAAGCGUGGGGAGCAAACAGG
RNAcentral lists this ribosomal RNA (429 nucleotides) under Pseudomonadota bacterium. RNAcentral describes it as "Proteobacteria bacterium partial 16S ribosomal RNA". It matches the Rfam family "Bacterial small subunit ribosomal RNA", at positions 355 to 776 of the family's 1533-position model. The record is from RNAcentral. Lineage: Bacteria; Pseudomonadati; Pseudomonadota.